Molecule: transfer RNA, 72 nt
Filed under: Candidatus Dojkabacteria bacterium
Lineage: Bacteria
Description: tRNA-Lys
Rfam family: tRNA
About the family: Transfer RNA (tRNA) molecules are approximately 80 nucleotides in length. Their secondary structure includes four short double-helical elements and three loops (D, anti-codon, and T loops).
Source: RNAcentral
GGGCCCGUAGCUCAAUGGUAGAGCACUCGGCUCUUAACCGAAUGGUUGGAGGUUCGAAUCCUCUCGGGCUCA